AUUGGGGCUAAUACCGGAUAUGACUGCUGACCGCAUGGUCUGGUGGUGGAAAGAUUUAUCGGCUGGGGAUGGGCCCGCGGCCUAUCAGCUUGUUGGUGGGGUAGUGGCCUACCAAGGCGACGACGGGUAGCCGGCCUGAGAGGGUGACCGGCCACACUGGGACUGAGACACGGCCCAGACUCCUACGGGAGGCAGCAGUGGGGAAUAUUGCGCAAUGGGCGGAAGCCUGACGCAGCGACGCCGCGUGGGGGAUGACGGCCUUCGGGUUGUAAACCUCUUUCAGCAGGGACGAAGCGAAAGUGACGGUACCUGCAGAAGAAGCACCGGCCAACUACGUGCCAGCAGCCGCGGUAAUACGUAGGGUGCAAGCGUUGUCCGGAAUUAUUGGGCGUAAAGAGCUCGUAGGCGGUCUGUCGCGUCGGCUGUGAAAUCCCGAGGCUCAACCUCGGGUCUGCAGUCGAUACGGGCA
This 469-nucleotide ribosomal RNA is filed under the name uncultured Actinomycetes bacterium. Its description in RNAcentral is "bacterial SSU rRNA". It matches the Rfam family "Bacterial small subunit ribosomal RNA", at positions 156 to 638 of the family's 1533-position model. Lineage: Bacteria; Bacillati; Actinomycetota; Actinomycetes. The record is from RNAcentral.